This 274-nucleotide ribosomal RNA is filed under the name uncultured bacterium. RNAcentral's name for it is "partial 16S ribosomal RNA". It matches the Rfam family "Bacterial small subunit ribosomal RNA", at positions 523 to 796 of the family's 1533-position model. The record is from RNAcentral.
AUACGGAGGGAGCGAGCGUUGUUCGGAUUUACUGGGCGUAAAGAGAGUGUAGGUUGUUUAUUAAGUCGGAUGUGAAAUCCCGGGGCUCAACCUCGGAACUGCAUUCGAUACUGAUAGGCUAGAGUUUGGGAGGGGUAAGCGGAAUUCCGUGUGUAGCAGUGAAAUGCGUAGAUAUACGGAGGAACACCUGAGGCGAAGGCGGCUUACUGGACCAAUACUGACACUGAGACUCGAAAGCGUGGGUAGUAAACAGCAUUAGAAACCCCAGUAGUCC